GGACCUGACUGCUAUCGGAUUGAUACUAAGCCAUGCGAGUCAUUGUAGCAAUACAAGGCAUACGGCUCAGUAACGCGUAGUCAACCUAACCUAUGGACGGGAAUAACCUCGGGAAACUGAGAAUAAUGCCCGAUAGAACAUUAUGCCUGGAAUGGUUUAUGUUCCAAAUGAUUUAUCGCCGUAGGAUGGGACUGCGGCCUAUCAGUUUGUUGGUGAGGUAAUGGCCCACCAAGACUAUUACAGGUACGGGCUCUGAGAGGAGUAGCCCGGAGAUGGGUACUGAGACACGGACCCAGGCCCUAUGGGGCGCAGCAGGCGAGAAAACUUUGCAAUGUGCGAAAGCACGACAAGGUUAAUCCGAGUGGUUUCUGCUAAAGAAACCUUUUGUCAGUCCUAGAAACUAUUGUAGGGUAAGGGGUGGGCAAGUUCUGGUGU
Molecule: ribosomal RNA, 435 nt
Filed under: uncultured archaeon
Lineage: Archaea
Description: bacterial SSU rRNA
Rfam family: Archaeal small subunit ribosomal RNA
Source: RNAcentral